AGAGUUUGAUCAUGGCUCAGGACGAACGCUGGCGGCGUGCUUAACACAUGCAAGUCGAACGGUGAUGACAGGGCUUGCCUUGUCUGAUCAGUGGCGAACGGGUGAGUAACACGUGAGUAACCUGCCCCAGACUCUGGGAUAACCCCGGGAAACCGGAGCUAAUACCGGAUAUGACCUUCGGACGCAUGUUCUGUUGGUGGAAAGUUUUUCGGUUUGGGAUGGGCUCGCGGCCUAUCAGCUUGUUGGUGAGGUAGUGGCUCACCAAGGCGACGACGGGUAGCCGGCCUGAGAGGGCGACCGGCCACACUGGGACUGAGACACGGCCCAGACUCCUACGGGAGGCAGCAGUGGGGAAUAUUGCACAAUGGGCGGAAGCCUGAUGCAGCGACGCCGCGUGAGGGAUGACGGCCUUCGGGUUGUAAACCUCUUUCAGCAGGGAAGAAGCGUGAGUGACGGUACCUGCAGAAGAAGCACCGGCUAACUACGUGCCAGCAGCCGCGGUAAUACGUAGGGUGCGAGCGUUGUCCGGAAUUAUUGGGCGUAAAGAGCUUGUAGGCGGUUUGUCGCGUCUGCUGUGAAAAUCCGGGGCUCAACCCCGGACUUGCAGUGGGUACGGGCAGGCUAGAGUGUGGUAGGGGAGACUGGAAUUCCUGGUGUAGCGGUGGAAUGCGCAGAUAUCAGGAGGAACACCGAUGGCGAAGGCAGGUCUCUGGGCCACUACUGACGCUGAGAAGCGAAAGCAUGGGGAGCGAACAGGAUUAGAUACCCUGGUAGUCCAUGCCGUAAACGUUGGGCGCUAGGUGUGGGACUCAUUCCACGAGUUCCGUGCCGCAGCUAACGCAUUAAGCGCCCCGCCUGGGGAGUACGGCCGCAAGGCUAAAACUCAAAGGAAUUGACGG
RNAcentral lists this ribosomal RNA (899 nucleotides) under uncultured bacterium. Its description in RNAcentral is "bacterial SSU rRNA". It matches the Rfam family "Bacterial small subunit ribosomal RNA", at positions 8 to 916 of the family's 1533-position model. The record is from RNAcentral.